Molecule: ribosomal RNA, 253 nt
Filed under: uncultured bacterium
Lineage: Bacteria
Description: partial 16S ribosomal RNA
Rfam family: Bacterial small subunit ribosomal RNA
Source: RNAcentral
UACGUAGGGGGCAAGCGUUAUCCGGAUUUACUGGGUGUAAAGGGAGCGUAGGCGGUGCAGCAAGUCAGAAGUGAAAGCCCGGGGCUCAACUCCGGGACUGCUCUUGAAACUGUUGAACUAGAUUGCAGGAGAGGUAAGUGGAAUUCCUAGUGUAGCGGUGAAAUGCGUAGAUAUUAGGAGGAACACCAGUGGCGAAGGCGGCUUACUGGACUGUAAAUGACGCUGAGGCUCGAAAGCGUGGGGAGCAAACAGG